This 292-nucleotide ribosomal RNA is filed under the name uncultured bacterium. Its description in RNAcentral is "partial 16S ribosomal RNA". It matches the Rfam family "Bacterial small subunit ribosomal RNA", at positions 505 to 796 of the family's 1533-position model. The record is from RNAcentral.
GUGUCAGCCGCCGCGGUAAUACGAGGGAUCCUAGCGUUGUUCGGAAUCAUUGGGCGUAAAGGGUGCGUAGGCGGCCAUUCAAGUCAGUUGUGAAAGCCCCGGGCUCAACCCGGGAAGUGCUUCUGAUACUGUUUGGCUUGAGUACUGGAGAGGAUAGUAGAAUUCCAGGUGUAGUGGUGAAAUACGUAGAUAUCUGGAGGAAUACCGGUGGCGAAGGCGGCUAUCUGGCCAUGUACUGACGCUGAAGCACGAAAGCGUGGGGAGCAAACAGGAUUAGAUACCCUUGUAGUCC